RNAcentral lists this ribosomal RNA (206 nucleotides) under uncultured bacterium. RNAcentral's name for it is "partial 16S ribosomal RNA". It matches the Rfam family "Bacterial small subunit ribosomal RNA", at positions 568 to 774 of the family's 1533-position model. The record is from RNAcentral.
CGUGUAGGCGGUCCGGUAAGUCGGUUGUGAAAGUCCAGGGCUCAACCCUGGGAUGCCGAUCGAUACUGCCGGACUAGAGUCCGGAAGAGGCGAGUGGAAUUCCCGGUGUAGCGGUGAAAUGCGCAGAUAUCGGGAGGAACACCAAUGGCGAAGGCAGCUCGCUGGGACGGUACUGACGCUGAGACGCGAAAGCGUGGGAGCAAACA